Unclassified non-coding RNA from Pan troglodytes (chimpanzee), 291 nucleotides. It matches the Rfam family "Metazoan signal recognition particle RNA". From Rfam's summary of the family: The signal recognition particle (SRP) is a universally conserved ribonucleoprotein. It is involved in the co-translational targeting of proteins to membranes. Lineage: Eukaryota; Metazoa; Chordata; Mammalia; Primates; Hominidae. The record is from Ensembl.
ACUGAGUGUGGCAAAGUGUACCUAUAGUCCUAACUACUUGGGAGGCAGGAGGAUCGCUUGAGUCCAGGAGUUCUGGGCUGUAUUGUGUUAUGCCAAACAGGUAUCUGCGCUGAGUUCAGGAUCAAUAUGGUGACCUCCUGGGAGUGGGGACUGCCAGGUUGACUAAGGAGGUGUGAACUGGUCAAGUCGGAAAAGGAGCAAGUCAAAACUCUUGUGUUGAUUAGUAAUGAGAUCACAUCUGUGAAUAACCACUGCAGUCCAGCCUGGGAAACAUACGAAGACCUCAUCUCU